Molecule: ribosomal RNA, 450 nt
Filed under: uncultured bacterium
Lineage: Bacteria
Description: partial 16S ribosomal RNA
Rfam family: Bacterial small subunit ribosomal RNA
Source: RNAcentral
GUGGGGAAUCUUCCGCAAUGGACGAAAGUCUGACGGAGCAACGCCGCGUGAGUGAUGAAGGUCUUCGGAUUGUAAAGCUCUGUUAAUCGGGACGAAAGAGCCUAGUGUGAAUAAUGCUAGGAAGUGACGGUACCGGAAUAGAAAGCCACGGCUAACUACGUGCCAGCAGCCGCGGUAAUACGUAGGUGGCAAGCGUUGUCCGGAAUUAUUGGGCGUAAAGCGCGCGUAGGCGGAUCUGCCAGUCUGUCUUAAAAGUUCGGGGCUUAACCCCGUGAUGGAAUGGAAACUACAGAUCUAGAGUAUCGGAGAGGAAAGUGGAAUUCCUAGUGUAGCGGUGAAAUGCGUAGAUAUUAGGAAGAACACCAGUGGCGAAGGCGACUUUCUGGACGAAAACUGACGCUGAGGCGCGAAAGCCAGGGGAGCGAACGGGAUUAGAUACCCGGGUAGUCC